This 254-nucleotide ribosomal RNA is filed under the name uncultured bacterium. Its description in RNAcentral is "partial 16S ribosomal RNA". It matches the Rfam family "Bacterial small subunit ribosomal RNA", at positions 524 to 776 of the family's 1533-position model. The record is from RNAcentral.
GACGUAGGGCGCGAGCGUUGUCCGGAUUUAUUGGGCGUAAAGAGCUCGUAGGCGGCUUGUCGCGUCGUCCGUGAAAACUUGUGGCUUAACCACAGGCUGGCGGUCGAUACGGGCAUGACUGGAGUUCGGCAGGGGAGACUGGAAUUCCUGGUGUAGCGGUGAAAUGCGCAGAUAUCAGGAGGAACACCGGUGGCGAAGGCGGGUCUCUGGGCCGAUACUGACGCUGAGGAGCGAAAGCGUGGGGAGCGAACAGG